AUUGAACGCUGGCGGCAGGCCUAACACAUGCAAGUCGAGCGGAUGAAGGGAGCUUGCUCCUGGAUUCAGCGGCGGACGGGUGAGUAAUGCCUAGGAAUCUGCCUGGUAGUGGGGGAUAACGUCCGGAAACGGGCGCUAAUACCGCAUACGUCCUGAGGGAGAAAGUGGGGGAUCUUCGGACCUCACGCUAUCAGAUGAGCCUAGGUCGGAUUAGCUAGUUGGUGGGGUAAAGGCCUACCAAGGCGACGAUCCGUAACUGGUCUGAGAGGAUGAUCAGUCACACGGGAACUGAGACACGGUCCAGACUCCUACGGGAGGCAGCAGUGGGGAAUAUUGGACAAUGGGCGAAAGCCUGAUCCAGCCAUGCCGCGUGUGUGAAGAAGGUCUUCGGAUUGUAAGCACUUUAAGUUGGGAGGAAGGGCAGUAAGUUAAUACCUUGCUGUUUUGACGUUACCAACAGAAUAAGCACCGGCUAACUUCGUG
This 483-nucleotide ribosomal RNA is filed under the name uncultured bacterium. RNAcentral describes it as "partial 16S ribosomal RNA". It matches the Rfam family "Bacterial small subunit ribosomal RNA", at positions 30 to 507 of the family's 1533-position model. The record is from RNAcentral.